GAUGAAGAACGCAGCGAAAUGCGAUACGUAAUGUGAAUUGCAAAUUCAGUGAAUCAUCGAGUCUUUGAACGCACAUUGCGCCCCCUGGUAUUCCGGGGGGCAUGCCUGUCCGAGCGUCAUUGCUGCCCUCAAGCACGGCUUGUGUGUUGGGCCCCGUCCUCCGAUCCCGGGGGACGGGCCCGAAAGGCAGCGGCGGCACCGCGUCCGGUCCUCGAGCGUAUGGGGCUUUGUCACCCGCUCUGUAGGCCCGGCCGGCGCUUGCCGAUCAACCCAAAUUUUUAUCCAGGUUGACCUCGGAUCAGGUGGGGAUACCCGCUGAACUUAAGCAUAUCAAUAAGCGGAGGA
RNAcentral lists this unclassified non-coding RNA (345 nucleotides) under soil metagenome. RNAcentral describes it as "partial contains 5.8S ribosomal RNA, internal transcribed spacer 2, and large subunit ribosomal RNA". The stretch from base 1 to 119 matches the Rfam family "5.8S ribosomal RNA", at positions 35 to 154 of the family's 154-position model. The record is from RNAcentral.